RNAcentral lists this ribosomal RNA (406 nucleotides) under uncultured bacterium. RNAcentral describes it as "partial 16S ribosomal RNA". It matches the Rfam family "Bacterial small subunit ribosomal RNA", at positions 30 to 526 of the family's 1533-position model. The record is from RNAcentral.
AUUGAACGCUGGCGGCAGGCCUAACACAUGCAAGUCGAACGAGUGGCGGACGGGUGAGUAAUGUCUGGGAAACUGCCUGAUGGAGGGGGAUAACUACUGGAAACGGUCGCUAAUACCGCAUACCAUACGAUGUGCCCAGAUGGGAUUAGCUGGUUGGUGGGGUAACGGCUAACCAAGGCGACGAGCCCUAGCUGGUCUGAGAGGAGGACCAGCCACACGGGAACUGGGACACGGUCCAGACUCCUACGGGAGGCAGCGGGGGGGAAUAUUGGACAAGGGGCGAAAGCCUGAUCCAGCCAUGCCGCUUGUGUGAAGAAGGUCUUCGGAUUGUAAAGCACUUUAAGUUGGGAGGCGUUACCAACAGAAUAAGCACCGGCUAACUUCGUGCCAGCAGCCGCGGUAAUAC